This 123-nucleotide non-coding RNA is filed under the name unclassified sequences. The record is from Rfam.
UUGUAUAGUGGACGGGGAGUGACACACCAGCGCUAUAUGAACUAAGCAGACUGGGGGUAAGUGGAUGAAAUACUGCAAGAUAGGUGGCGAAGCUAGUGCCUAUUCUACGAACGACUGGCGGAC